Molecule: ribosomal RNA, 730 nt
Filed under: uncultured bacterium
Lineage: Bacteria
Description: bacterial SSU rRNA
Rfam family: Bacterial small subunit ribosomal RNA
Source: RNAcentral
AGAGCUUUGAUCAUGGCUCAGGAUGAACGCUGGCGGCGUGCCUAACACAUGCAAGUCGAACGAGCGAUAAGAGCUGAUUCUUCGGAUGAAGCACUUAUCUGCGAGUGGCGGACGGGUGAGUAACGCGUGGGGAACCUGCCUUCUUCUGGGGGAUAGCAAUCGGAAACGAUUGAUAAUACCGCAUAAGACCACGAAGCCGCAUGGCUUUGAGGUAAAAGAUUUAUCGGAAGAAGAUGGACCCGCGUAUGAUUAGCCGGUUGGCGGGGUAACGGCCCACCAAAGCAACGAUCAUUAGCCGGCCUGAGAGGGCGGACGGCCACAUUGGGACUGAGACACGGCCCAGACUCCUACGGGAGGCAGCAGUGGGGGAUAUUGCACAAUGGAGGAAACUCUGAUGCAGCGACGCCGCGUGAGUGAAGAAGUAUUUCGGUAUGUAAAGCUCUAUCAGCAGGGAAGAAAGGCCCCCCUUGCGGGGAGAUGACGGUACCUGAGUAAGAAGCCCCGGCUAACUACGUGCCAACAGCCGCGGUAAUACGUAGGGGGCGAGCGUUAUCCGGAUUUACUGGGUGUAAAGGGAGCGCAGACGGAAUGGCAAGUCUGAUGUGAAAGCCCGGGGGCUCAUCCCCCGGGACUGCAUUGGAAACUGUCAAUCUGGGAGUGUCGGAAGGGCCAAGCGGAAUUCCUGGUGUAACCGGUUGAAAUGCCGUAGAUUAUCAAGGAGGAAACACCC